RNAcentral lists this ribosomal RNA (484 nucleotides) under uncultured bacterium. RNAcentral's name for it is "partial 16S ribosomal RNA". It matches the Rfam family "Bacterial small subunit ribosomal RNA", at positions 30 to 507 of the family's 1533-position model. The record is from RNAcentral.
AUUGAACGCUGGCGGCAUGCUUUACACAUGCAAGUCGAACGGCAGCACGGGCUUCGGCCUGGUGGCGAGUGGCGAACGGGUGAGUAAUAUAUCGGAACGUACCCAGAAGUGGGGGAUAACGUAGCGAAAGUUACGCUAAUACCGCAUACGAUCUAUGGAUGAAAGCAGGGGACCGCAAGGCCUUGUGCUCCUGGAGCGGCCGAUAUCUGAUUAGCUAGUUGGUGAGGUAAAGGCUCACCAAGGCGACGAUCAGUAGCUGGUCUGAGAGGACGACCAGCCACACUGGAACUGAGACACGGUCCUGACUCCUACGGGAGGCAGCAGUGGGGAAUUUUGGACAAUGGGCGCAAGCCUGAUCCAGCAAUGCCGCGUGAGUGAAGAAGGCCUUCGGGUUGUAAAGCUCUUUUGUCAGGGAAGAAACGGUAGAGGCUAAUAUCCUUUGCUAAUGACGGUACCUGAAGAAUAAGCACCGGCUAACUACGUG